This 495-nucleotide ribosomal RNA is filed under the name Leptopelis concolor (Witu forest treefrog). RNAcentral's name for it is "partial 12S ribosomal RNA". It matches the Rfam family "Bacterial small subunit ribosomal RNA", at positions 796 to 1525 of the family's 1533-position model. The record is from RNAcentral. Lineage: Eukaryota; Metazoa; Chordata; Amphibia; Anura; Arthroleptidae.
CCAGCCGUAAAACAUUAACUUACACCAUAAAUCGCCUGAGAACUACGAGCACACGCUUAAAACUCAAAGGACUUGACGGUGUCCCAUCCAACUAGAGGAGCCUGUUCUAUAAUCGAUAAUCCCCGAUAAACCUCACCACUUCUAGCCUAUCAGUCUGUAUACCUCCGUCGAAAGCUUACCCUGUGAAUGAUCAUUAGUAAGCAAUAGGGUCUACCCACCAAAACGUCAGGUCAAGGUGCAGCUUACGAAGUGGGAAGAAAUGGGCUACAAUUUCUAAACUAGAACAAACGAAAAGAUCUGCAUGAAACACAGUCAUGAGGGCGGAUUUAGUAGUAAAAAGAAAAUAGAGUGUUCUUUUUANCCGAGCACUGGGACGUGUACACACCGCCCGUCAUCCUCUUCGAUAACAAUACAACAUGUCUAUAACACGCUAACGAACAUAAGAAGAGGCAAGUCGUAACAUGGUAAGUAUACUGGAAAGUGUACUUGGAAUAA